CGAACGCUGGCGGCAUGCCUAACACAUGCAAGUCGAACGAGACCUUCGGGUCUAGUGGCGCACUGGUGCGUAACGCGUGGGAACCUGCCCUUAGGUUCGGAAUAACUCCCCGUAAGGGGUGCUAAUACCGGAUAAUGUCUUUGGACCAAGGAUUUAUCGCCUUUGGAUGGGCCCGCGUUGGAUUAGCUAGUUGGUAGGGUAAAAGCCUACCAAGGCGACGAUUCAUAGCUGGUCUGAGAGGAUGAUCAGCCACACUGGGACUGAGACACGGCCCAGACUCCUACGGGAGGCAGCAGUGGGGAAUAUUGGACAAUGGGCGAAAGCCUGAUCCAGCAAUGCCGCGUGAGUGAUGAAGGCCUUAGGGUUGUAAAGCUCUUUUACCCGGGAUGAUAAUGACAGUACCGGGAGAAUAAGCACCGGCUAACUCCGUG
RNAcentral lists this ribosomal RNA (431 nucleotides) under uncultured bacterium. RNAcentral describes it as "partial 16S ribosomal RNA". It matches the Rfam family "Bacterial small subunit ribosomal RNA", at positions 30 to 507 of the family's 1533-position model. The record is from RNAcentral.